CUGUGGUUUAUUGGAUCGUACUCGGUAAAUGGAUAACUGUAAUAACUCUAGAGCUAAUACAUGCCUCGAUGCCCUGAGCCUGCAUGCUCGCCUGCUUCGCGUGUAGCGGUGGCGGCGGCAGCCGCAGGGGAGGGGUGCACUUAUUAGAUCAGAAGCCAGCCAACCGGCCAAGCGGCGCGGGUUGCGACAACACUUCUGGUGACUCUGGAUAAUUGUGACAGAUCGCAGUCGGCCUUGAGUCGGCGACGGGUCCUUCAAAUGUCUGCCCUAUCAACUUUCGAUGGUAGGUGACCUGCCUACCAUGGUGAUAACGGGUAACGGGGAAUCAGGGUUCGAUUCCGGAGAGGGAGCCUGAGAAACGGCUACCACUUCCAAGGGAGGCAGCAGGCGCGCAACUUACCCACUCCCGGCACGGGGAGGUGGUGACGAAAAAUACCGAUGCGGGACUCCUUCAAGAGGCUCCGUAAUCGGAAUGAGUGGACUCUAAAUCCUUUCACGAGGAUCCAUUGGAGGGCAAGUCUGGUGCCAGCAGCCGCGGUAACUCCAGCUCCAAUAGCGUAUAUUAAAGUUGCUGCAGUUAAAAAGCUCGUAGUUGGAUCUCGGUGGCGUUGUUGCCUGCUGGCCAUUGAGCGGUGGGUGUGUGGCCAUGGGUGCGCGGUCCUGGCCGGCGUGUGCGCGUCGACGCGUGGCUAGCUCGGUCGGUCGCUCGGUCGGUCGACCAGCGGGGCCGGCUGGUGGGCGUGUGCGCGUGCGCGUGUUGCGGGGACUGUGGCAUCGUGGUGGCCAUGAAAAGGCACUGCCGCGUCAAGCCGGCAAGGCGAUGGUGUCGCCUCUACGCCAUGUCUGCGGUGUGACAGCCGCAGGUGCGGGCGGGUGUUGGGCGGUGCUCUGCUCACGUGGUGGAGGCCGUCGGCUCGUCGGCAUGCCUUGGGAUGCCCUUGAAAAGGUGUCUGCGGGCGGAUGGCACGUUUACUUUGAACAAAUUUGAGUGCUCAAGUCAGGCUGCUGAUGUUGCCUGAAAAGUUUUGCAUGGAAUAAUGGAAUAGGACUUCGGUUCUGUUUCGUUGGUUUUCGGAUCCGAAGUAAUGAUCAAAAGAGACAGGCGGGGGCGUUUGUAUGGCUGCGCUAGAGGUGAAAUUCAUGGACCGUAGCCAGACAAACUAAAGCGAAAGCAUUCGUCAAGCAUGUUUUCAUUGGCCAUGAGCGAAAGUCAGAGGCUCGAAGACGAUCAGAUACCGUCCUAGUUCUGACCAUAAACGAUGCCAACUGACGAUCCGUGGUGGUAGUGCACUUACCUUCCCCGCGGGCAGUCCCCGGGAAACCUUUAAGUGUUUGGGUUCCGGGGGAAGUAUGGUUGCAAAGCUGAAACUUAAAGGAAUUGACGGAAGGGCACCACCAGGAGUGGAGCCUGCGGCUUAAUUUGACUCAACACGGGAAAGCUCACCCGGGCCGGACACUAUGAGGAUUGACAGAUUGAGAGCUCUUUCUUGAUUUGGUGGUUGGUGGUGCAUGGCCGUUCUUAGUUGGUGGAGCGAUUUGUCUGGUUAAUUCCGAUAACGAACGAGACUCCAGCCUGCUAAUUAGUGCGUUUGUCCACUGCGCCUGCGGGGCUCACGUUGGGCUUCGUGCAUUGACACCAGCGAGCGCUUGAGGUGGGGCGUGCACCCGCUCGUCCUGCCUCCGUUCGCUCGCUCGCCCGCCCGCCCGCCUGCCACUUGCGCGCCACCUGCUCCUCGUGGGUGGGUGGUGGUGGUGGUGGCGGCGGUGACGGGAGGGUGAGUGGGUGGAUGGGUGGGUGGUUGCGUUGGUGUCGGGCGUUGGUGCCUCGCGUGGGCCUGUGGGCGCGGCGCGAAUGCCUACUUCUUAGAGGGACAAGCGGGAGAAGCCGCACGAAAUAGAGCAAUAACAGGUCUGUGAUGCCCUUAGAUGUCCGGGGCCGCACGCGCGCUACAAUGACGGUGUCAACGAGUCAGACCUUCUGGCCCGAGAGGGUUGGGCAAACUGGUCAAUCACCGUCGUGACAGGGAUCGGGGCUUGGAAUUGUUGCCCGUGAACGAGGAAUUCCUAGUAAGUGCAAGUCAUAAGCUUGCGCUGAUUACGUCCCUGCCCUUUGUACACACCGCCCGUCGCUACUACCGAUUGAAUGGUUUAGUGAGGUCCUCGGAUUGGUGUCAUUGCGGUGGCGGUGGCGGUGGCGGCGGCGGCGUCGGUCCGCUCGCUGGCUCGCUGGCUCGCUGGCUCGCCCGAGAGGCGCCGAGAAGACGACCGAACUUGAUCAUUUAGA
This 2284-nucleotide ribosomal RNA is filed under the name Versteria mustelae. Its description in RNAcentral is "SSU rRNA". It matches the Rfam family "Eukaryotic small subunit ribosomal RNA". The record is from RNAcentral. Lineage: Eukaryota; Metazoa; Platyhelminthes; Cestoda; Cyclophyllidea; Taeniidae.